This is a non-coding RNA of Ceratotherium simum simum (southern white rhinoceros), 98 nucleotides long. The record is from RefSeq and is a predicted model, not a curated record. Lineage: Eukaryota; Metazoa; Chordata; Mammalia; Perissodactyla; Rhinocerotidae.
UUAGUCUCCUCACGGCUGUGACAGUUUCUCAGACAUUCCUUGUUUUUGACGACCUUGACAGUUCUGAGGAGGACUGGUUAGGUAUUGUGUCCAGUGUC